AAUACCAUACAGGUUAGUUCUUGAUUUAUGACCACAGUUGGGACUGGAAUUUUUGCUGCUAAACGAUCAUUAAUUGAGUCAUUACGUGACCAGGCCUGCAAACUUCCUUGUUGAACUGCUGGUUGGAGACCCCUGCUGUAGUCCAUAGACCUGGAAAUGUGCCGUUAUCCAUAGUUCUUUGGUGACUUAUCUGAAAGAUGAUUAUUCGUCAUUUGCAAGAGGGAAAUUAUUUAUAAUUAGCCUUAGUAAAAGCCUUAGUAAAAGCACAAAUACUGCAUCCAGUUUUGGUCGCCAUAUUAUAAAAAAGAUGCUGAGAAUCUGGAAAGAGUGCAGAAAAGAGCAACAAAGAUGAUUAAGGGGCUGGAGACUAAAUAUAACGAAGAACAGUUGCAGGAAUUGGUAAUGGCUAAUCUAGAGAAAAGAAGAACUAGAAGAGACAUGGUAAAAGUGUUCCCAUAUUUGUGGGGCUACCACAAAGAAGAGAAGGUCAAGUUAUUUUCCAAAGCACCAGAAGGCAAGACAAGAAACAAUGGAUGGAAAUUUAUCAAGGAGAGAAGCAAUCUAGAACUAAGGAAUCAUUUCCUGACAGAACAAUUAAUCAGUGGAACAACUUGCCUCCAGAAGUUGUGGGUGCUCCAACUGGAGGUUUUUUAAGAAGAGACGGGACAUCUAUUCCAUUGUCUGGAAUAGUAUAGGAUCUCCUGCUUGAGCAGGGAAUUGGACUAGAAGACCCCCAAGGUCCCUUCCAACUCUUUUAUUUUAUUUAAAUAUCAAUUAUAGAGACUCUGAGAGCAUGCCAGGAGAAAAAAGAGUAUUUGAUGGCAGAAUCCAGUCAGAUAAAUUAUGCACUCCAGCUGCAACUGAGCCCAAAAAAUGGGCCACAUGAAUAGAAACCUAAGAAAUGAAAACCAGUGGACACUGCCAUGAUGGAACUGCAGUUUCAUCUUCAGCAUGCACCAGCUAAAGGUGCCACAACAGAUGUGGAAGGGAAGCCUCUGCAACCUGCUUCCCAUCACAUUUAAGCCAACCAAAAACUCUGCAGGGCACUGAUGGGAUUGAUUGUAUCCAAGAAUCCAUCUGCUCACUUCCACAUUUCUAAAUAAAUAAGUAAGUAAAUAAAUAAAUAAAUAAAUAAAUAUGACACAUUUCAGGGACCUCAAAUCAGGAUUUUAAUAUAGUAGGUGUUUCUAACACAAUGUUUCCUUAACAUUGUCAGAGAACGAAAGAUAAAUAUGUUUGAUUCCUUGAAGAUCACUUGGAAUACUGCAUUCAGUUUUGGUCGCCACGAUUUUAAAAAGAUGUUGAAACUCUAGAAAGAAUGCAGAGAAGAGCAACAAAGAUGAUUAGGGAACUGGAGGCUAAAACAUAUGAAGAACGGUUGCAGGAACUGGAUAUGUCUAGUCUGAUGAAAAGAAGGAUUAGGGGAGACAUGAUAGCAGUGUUCCGAUAUCUCAGGGGUUGCCACAAAGAGGGAGUCGGGCUGUUCUCCAAAGCACCUGAGGGUAGAACAAGAAGCAAUGGGUGGAAACUGAUCAAGGAAAGAAGCAACUUAGAACUAAGGAGAAAUUUCCUGACAGUUAGAACAAUUAAUAAGUGGAACGACUUGCCUGCAGAAGUUGUGAAUGCUCCAACACUGGAAGUUUUUAAGAUGUUGGAUAACCAUUUGUCUGAAGUGGUGUAGGGUUUCCUGCCUUAAGCAGGGGGUUGGACUUGAAGACCUCCAAGGUCCCUUCCAACUCUUUUAUUCUAAAUUCUAAAAUCAAAAGGCAGGAAUGAAAACGGGUGUGUGUAUUCAUAUUUUACAAGAAACCAACCCAACCGUGGAAAGUGGUUCAUGGAUGGGGCUUUCUCUGCCAUCAGUCACACUGUAUGCGUGACGGUGCUGCAGUUCCAGGAAUUCUUGCCCUAGUUCUGCCAGCUACAAUUGGCCAACACACCUGAAGAACGCCAGGAAGUCAUUAUGACUAAAUAUAACUGAGCUGACUGCUCUAAGACAGAGCUUAGCCUUCCCUAUAGCAAAAAGGAAGCACAAAAAUGAUUUCUUUAAAAAUAUGGAUGCUUUGAAUCAAGCCAGAUCAGUUCACCGCCAUGGACGUGUGAUGUUUGUACUGGAAGCACGAUGCGCUGAGAGAUUUCAAUAUGAUUUAUUAAAAAGCUAUUUUAAUUAUGAAUACAUUUUAAAUGUAGCGGUAAGAUACGUUUGGUGCUACCAUUUGAAAAGGAAAAGCGCACCGAGACCAUCAUUACACUUGAAGGUAGAUUCCGUUAGACCCAGUCCUCAAUGCAGUUUACAAUCACAAAAGUUGUUGAAGCAUAAAGCACCUUUUGGGUUUUGCAGCAGUGACCACUAGGAGACAGCAGAUGCAAUUUAAAUGCCAAGAAACGAUUCUUGGGGCUUUGCACAACUUUUUUUGAGCGACAGAAUUGGAGAUUUUUUUCGCUACUGCCAGAAGGGUAUUUUUCUUUUCUUCUUAACUGCAUAGAAAGCCCUAUUAUCUUUCUAAAGAAAAGAUAUGUGGCCCUCAUUUGAAACACAAUGAUUUUGGCUACGUUCUUCAGGAUGUUUCUUUGUCUCUGUGUGCAAUGCAUGCGCAACACACAGGAAGAGGUUGUUUUUUUAAAAAAAUAAAUGUUUUCAUCAUUCAA
Molecule: long non-coding RNA, 2646 nt
Organism: Ahaetulla prasina
Lineage: Eukaryota; Metazoa; Chordata; Lepidosauria; Squamata; Colubridae
Exons: 2
Source: RefSeq, a predicted model, not a curated record